RNAcentral lists this ribosomal RNA (429 nucleotides) under Chloroflexota bacterium. Its description in RNAcentral is "Chloroflexi bacterium partial 16S ribosomal RNA". It matches the Rfam family "Bacterial small subunit ribosomal RNA", at positions 355 to 776 of the family's 1533-position model. Lineage: Bacteria; Bacillati; Chloroflexota. The record is from RNAcentral.
UAGGGAAUCUUCGGCAAUGGACGAAAGUCUGACCGAGCAACGCCGCGUGAGUGAAGAAGGUUUUCGGAUCGUAAAACUCUGUUGUUAGAGAAGAACAAGGACGUUAGUAACUGAACGUCCCCUGACGGUAUCUAACCAGAAAGCCACGGCUAACUACGUGCCAGCAGCCGCGGUAAUACGUAGGUGGCAAGCGUUGUCCGGAUUUAUUGGGCGGAAAGCGAGCGCAGGCGGUUUCUUAAGGCUGAUGUGAAAGCCCCCGGCUCAACCGGGGAGGGUCAUUGGAAACUGGGAGACUUGAGUGCAGAAGAGGAGAGUGGAAUUCCAUGUGUAGCGGUGAAAUGCGUAGAUAUAUGGAGGACCACCAGUGGCGAAGGCGGCUCUCUGGUCUGUAACUGACGCUGAGGCUCGAAAGCGUGGGGAGCAAACAGG